This 441-nucleotide long non-coding RNA is filed under the name Elaeis guineensis (African oil palm). RNAcentral's name for it is "long non-coding RNA (EGUI_LNC038343)". The record is from RNAcentral. Lineage: Eukaryota; Viridiplantae; Streptophyta; Magnoliopsida; Arecales; Arecaceae.
GCUCAGUUUGUUAGGCCAUUACUUUGGUAUAAUAAAAUAUCCAGCUGUAGGAGUUUGUUGACUCUGUCAAUAGGUUGUCAAUAGCAUCAAUCCACAUGGGGAACUAGCUAUAGUAUGGUUGGAAGACAACUGUAAAGGUGCUAGAAAAUAGCUGUAAAAUAACCAUCUACAUCUUGAGAUCACAUCGGUAUUUGACCAACGUCCCUCCUGGCAGGUCGGAUCGAUAUCCAUCUAAGCUGAAUAGAACCAGAUCGAUAUUUGACUGAGCUGACUUGAACCAAGUCGGCAAUAAACUGAUCUGAGCCAGGAACAAAUCUUGGUUGGUAUAAUACUCUGAUGAUCUUUUCUAAUGCCCCCAUGUGGCCAGAGGUCAGUUAAUAGCUCCAACACAAUGCCCUCAACUUUUCAGACCUGAGGUGUGAUUUUUCCACAUCGAGUGUG